AUUGAACGCUGGCGGCAUGCCUUACACAUGCAAGUCGAACGGCAGCACGGGAGCAAUCCUGGUGGCGAGUGGCGAACGGGUGAGUAAUGUAUCGGAACGUGCCCAGUCGUGGGGGAUAACGUAGCGAAAGCUACGCUAAUACCGCAUACGAUCUAUGGAUGAAAGCGGGGGAUCGCAAGACCUCGCGCGAUUGGAGCGGCCGAUAUCGGAGUAGGUAGUUGGUGGGGUAAAGGCUCACCAAGCCGACGAUCUGUAGCUGGUCUGAGAGGACGACCAGCCACACUGGGACUGAGACACGGCCCAGACUCCUACGGGAGGCAGCAGUGGGGAAUUUUGGACAAUGGGCGCAAGCCUGAUCCAGCAAUGCCGCGUGCAGGGUGAAGGCCUUCGGGUUGUAAACUGCUUUUGUACGGAACGAAACGGCGAGCUCUAAUACAGUUUGCUAAUGACGGUACCGUAAGAAUAAGCACCGGCUAACUACGUGCCAGCCGCCGCGGUAA
This 500-nucleotide ribosomal RNA is filed under the name uncultured bacterium. Its description in RNAcentral is "partial 16S ribosomal RNA". It matches the Rfam family "Bacterial small subunit ribosomal RNA", at positions 30 to 523 of the family's 1533-position model. The record is from RNAcentral.